UGUUGCCCGGCGACGCUCCGGCGCUGGGUCCCCGAGGCCCGGCCCCUCCCCGGGAGGAGGUGGGCUUCGAGUCACGUGACCCGUGCGCUACCGGAGGGGGUGCGGUCGGGGACCCGGCAAGAGGCGGCCGAGAAGAGAGGACCGUGGGGGCGUUCGCGUGGCUCCCAGGCCGGGACUCCACCCCCGCUGGACAGUGGGGGGAAACUGAGGCCUGAGUGGGCCCACAGAGGAUCAUGAAGGUGCUUCUCCUCACAGGGCUGGGGGCCCUGUUCUUUGCCUAUUAUUGGGAUGACAACUUCGACCCAGGUGAGCACCUGGGGUUGAGGGAGGGAGAAACCGGGCCAGCUGUCCUGUCCCAGAGUGACCACCCCGGCUAUGGCCAGCCAGCCUCCAGGGAGCGCGAGUGCUGCUGACAGGGGCCAACGCUGGUGUUGGUGAGGAGCUGGCCUAUCACUACGCGCGUCUGGGCUCCCACCUGGUGCUCACUGCCCACACUGAGGCUCUCCUGCAGAAGGCGGGCUGGACUACCUCGUGCUGAACCACAUCGGCGGCGCCCCGGCCGGCACGCGAGCCCGCAGCCCCCAGGCAACGCGCUGGCUCAUGCAGGUAAACUUUCUGAGCUACGUGCAACUGACGUCGCGGGCGCUGCCCAGCCUGACGGACAGCAAAGGCUCCCUGGUGGUGGUGUCCUCGCUGCUCGGCCGCGUGCCCACGUCGUUCUCCACUCCCUACUCGGCGGCCAAGUUUGCGCUGGACGGCUUCUUCGGCUCCCUGCGGCGGGAGCUGGACGUGCAGGACGUGAACGUGGCCAUCACCAUGUGCGUCCUGGGCCUCCGAGAUCGCGCCUCCGCCGCCGAGGCAGUCAGGGGAGUCACGAGGGUCAAGGCGGCCCCGGGGCCCAAGGCAGCCCUGGCCGUAAUCCGCGGCGGCGCCACGCGCGCGGCCGGCGUCUUCUACCCGUGGCGUUUCCACCUGCUGUGCUUGCUCCGGCGCUGGCUGCCGCGCCCGCGGGCCUGGUUUAUCCGCCAGGAGCUCAACGUCACGGCCGCGGCUGCAGCCUGAGCACCGGGGGGUGCCCCUCCAGUCCCAGACGGCAAUGUUCCUCCCUCCAACUGUCCCUGGAGCCAGAACACUCACAGAGACACCCCUGAGAGGGUGGCCAUAGCCCAAGAUGAAGUCAUCAAGACAGAAAAGCAAAACCCAGAAAAACGACGGGCACCUGGAACCAGUCACAGCUUCAGAGGUGCAGGUGCCCCGUGUUAGGUGCCUUUGUCGGGGACUUGCAAGCCCUCACCUGUUUGGCCAUGAUUGAUGACGUGACUGCUUCCAUUUUGCAGAUGAGGAAACUGAGGCUGAGAGAGGUCACGCCACCCUUGAGCCACCCAUGGACCCCUCUCCAUCUCCUGCCUGCGCCUCUAAGUCCCUGAUUUAUUCUUUCCAUUCAUUCCAUCUGGGAGGAACCCCCCCAACUCCUGCCAGCUUCCCCUAGCUGGGGUCUCUGGUACUCUUCACACCUGCAGGGGCGUCUACACUGUUCGUCUGACUGGUGGCAGGGUCUGAGCUGGAGGAGGAGGGAAAGAGUGUGUUCUGAGCUGGACCCAGCCUCCUGUUUGAGAAUAAAAACUCUUCUUCUCUUGCA
RNAcentral lists this small RNA (1639 nucleotides) under Pongo abelii (Sumatran orangutan). Its description in RNAcentral is "retained intron". Lineage: Eukaryota; Metazoa; Chordata; Mammalia; Primates; Hominidae. The record is from RNAcentral.